RNAcentral lists this long non-coding RNA (307 nucleotides) under Musa acuminata (dwarf banana). Its description in RNAcentral is "long non-coding RNA (MACU_LNC001737)". Lineage: Eukaryota; Viridiplantae; Streptophyta; Magnoliopsida; Zingiberales; Musaceae. The record is from RNAcentral.
GGCUACGCCAUCUUCGUGGUGUUGAUGGUGUGCACCUUCGUGUCGUCGUUCGCCUGGUCGUGGGGGCCGCUGGGGUGGCUCAUCCCCAGCGAGACGUUCCCGCUGGAAACACGGUCGGCCGGGCAAAGCGUGACGGUGUGCGUCAACCUUCUCUUCACCUUCGUCAUCGCGCAGGCCUUCCUCUCCAUGCUGUGCCACCUCAAGUACGGCAUCUUCGCCUUCUUCUCCGCGUGGGUGGUGGUGAUGUCGGUGUUCGUCCUCUUCUUCCUCCCCGAGACCAAGAACGUGCCCAUCGAGGAGAUGGCGG